This 2589-nucleotide long non-coding RNA is filed under the name Nicotiana tabacum (common tobacco). RNAcentral describes it as "long non-coding RNA (NTAB_LNC003382)". Lineage: Eukaryota; Viridiplantae; Streptophyta; Magnoliopsida; Solanales; Solanaceae. The record is from RNAcentral.
UGCCCUCAAACUACCGAGAAAAGUGCAAGUGCUCAAAACGACCAGUCGGGUCGUUACAACAAUCAUCUCGGGCAUACAAUCAAAUCUUGAAACUAACAUUUAUAGAUUUAUAUUUCAUAUUUUUUUUCAAGAUACAUUCACCAAAGCUUUGAUACCUUAUGAGUUUCAGGAAGCUAUCAGCCUUUCAAAGCCAUCUGAAUAUUUUGUAGGCCUCCUUCGAUGCUCUUUAAAUACAAUGGAUUCAACCUUCAAGUUAUAGCAUAUUGAGAUGAAUUAAUCUAGAAUUUAGUACAUUGAAUAAUAUUUCGAAUUGGGUACAUCCCUGUAGUCAUCGAAUAAAUUGUAAGACAAACAAAUGUCAAGCAUAAAUUAUAAAGAAUUAUCUUUUAUCUAUUCAGGUCUGCAGUUAAUUCAUCAUUUUUUCCGUGAUAAACACCAUUCCUUGUAUCACUCUGGUUGAUAAGAGCUUACUUCUCUGCAAUUCAAUAAUUUUGUCCAACAAAAGCUAUUAUAUCCCCUUUUAGAAUACUAACAAAAUACAUACGAAUAUAAACAAUACAAUAACAGUAACAAUGUGACUCCGGUUUAUCUCUAUUUACAACAAAGUUCAUGACAUGGGAAACAUUUUGUGUUGUCCAACUGUAUGUGAGGACUCUCAAGUCGGUUAUGACAGCUGAAUCUACCCAAUAUCAACUAUUUGGAAACUAUAUGCUAAGAACUUUCAUCCAAUGCAAAGGUGAAGUUCCAGAAAGAGACAAAUGACUGAGAUUAGCACUUAGCAGUAGCUGAACGGUUAAAAUGCAUAUGCAUUUAUAAAAAUAUUCCAAAUACCAACACACAAAAUGUCACAGACCUUUUCUAAAUACAUCCACUGAACUAUUAUGAUUUUUAGAACAGAUGAUCAUCACUAAUGUAGAACAUAUACUAUAAUCUGCCUUUCACCAUCACCCAUGAAAGCACACGUAUAAUAAGAAAGGAUUGGUGAGACCUUAACUUUUGCCAAUACAAUUAUAACAUCUACUCCUAUUAUAUCUCCUAAGAGGACUAAAGAACAUUAAAAAAGAAAGCUCACCGCAUCAACGGAGAUAGAUCAUACAAUCUCCUUUGAGAAAGGUUUACAUCUGUAUACCAGCAAAAGAAUUAAUCCUAGAUGGGCCAUCCUUUGCAUCUGUAUACCAGCAAAAGAAUUAUUCCUAAAUAUACAAAAUCAAUGCAAAAGAAAUGUGAAUAUAUAUACAUGGCCUACAAACAAUUAGGAAUUUGAGCGACAUCCACAUAACCUCAUAAAUCGCACUUAAAUGUAAUAAAUCAUUUUAUAUAUUAGCAAAGUUCACAAACUGCUGGUGCAUCAUUGAUUAUUUCACAAAGAAAAAUGUCUUUUUUCCUAUUAAUAUGGAUGCAUUCCAACAGCUAAUACUUAUGGAAUUUUAUUGUUCAGUCAGGUGAGUGUAAUAGAAUAGUGGAAAUAUCCAUAACUUCGCAUAUACAUUUCGAAAAUGCAGUGACAUCUAAAAGAAUAACUUAGUGGGUGUUUCCGUCCCCUAAGAUUAGGGGAACUGGUUGCUGAUAAUAGAGUAUACAUAUUUGUUUAACAACUGAACUUAUUCCUUCUAACCCCUUAACAUUAACUACCUAAUCAAUUUUCGAAAAUAUAUCCCUCUUUUGAAUUAUAAAUUUUAGUCACCUACCAUAGAUUGUCUUCUAUAUCUCUAACAAAUUAUACAAAGAAAUGUGGGCACUUAAAAGAAAAAAUACCAAAAUUGCAGCCUUUCCCUGCUCCCAAAUGAAGAAGACCUUAUCGUUUGAUUAUCUCUGUUUGUCGGAGAAGUGAACGCAGGAAAUUAUGUACUUUGAACUCACUAUAAUAAGCCCUCCAAAAUGAAAUUCGAGUUAGAAAGAAUUACACAAAUUAAAAUAAAUUCAAUAACAUACAUUAGGAAAAAAUGGUAUAGCGAAUUCGGACUUACCACAUGUCACAAAGGCUAAGCCAAUAACUCAAUUUCUUUAGCCAAGCAGCGAUAGAUUGCUUGUUGUCUCUUCAAGCCCAUCUCUAUUCAUGACAAACAUAUCAUCCUUUACAUGAGAAUUCCGACCACACUAUUUUUAAUCCACAUAUCUCAGUAAUCUCAAGAUCCGUUAAUUGACCAAACGGGGAAAAAUAUAUCAAUACACCCCCAAGGCGAAGAGACAACUAAAAUAGGAGAAAAUAAUAACAAUAUUUUGCCAGAAAAAAAAAACGUGCUUCACAUCACUUGUCUAAAAACUCGCAUAUAUGCAUGCUGAAGGAUGAAGAGCAAUAAGCUUUAAAAUGGUAAUAAAAACAAAAGAAAAAUUAUCCAAACCCACUGUAAUAUCAAUGGUAUCAACCAACUCGUAACAAAGAGUAUAAAUCAUUUUUGUAGAACUUGAGUUCGAUAAAUCCAGCUUGAGGGUGGGGGUUCAGAGCAUGAGUGUAGGAUUUAAAAAUACAAUUGGGGGUUAUUUGAUAUGGAGUUCUUGGGGUGAAAUUUGGGGUUUGCUUUGGGGAGGAAUGGCAGAAUAGGGAGCGUUGGAGGGAAAGAGAAAGAUGAUAAUAGAGAGAGAGAGAGA